GACGUAGGGCGCAAGCGUCGUCCGGAUUUAUUGGGCGUAAAGAGCUCGUAGGCGGCUUGUUGCGUCGUCCGUGAAAACCCGUGGCUCAACUGCGGGCUUGCGGACGAUACGGGCAGGCUGGAGUUCGGUAGGGGAGACUGGAAUUCCUGGUGUAGCGGUGAAAUGCGCAGAUAUCAGGAGGAACACCGGUGGCGAAGGCGGGUCUCUGGGCCGAUACUGACGCUGAGGAGCGAAAGCGUGGGGAGCGAACAGG
RNAcentral lists this ribosomal RNA (253 nucleotides) under uncultured bacterium. RNAcentral's name for it is "partial 16S ribosomal RNA". It matches the Rfam family "Bacterial small subunit ribosomal RNA", at positions 524 to 776 of the family's 1533-position model. The record is from RNAcentral.